This 362-nucleotide ribosomal RNA is filed under the name Escherichia coli. Its description in RNAcentral is "partial 23S ribosomal RNA". It matches the Rfam family "Bacterial large subunit ribosomal RNA", at positions 296 to 667 of the family's 2925-position model. Lineage: Bacteria; Pseudomonadati; Pseudomonadota; Gammaproteobacteria; Enterobacterales; Enterobacteriaceae. The record is from RNAcentral. RNAcentral also lists the same sequence under 2 other names.
AGCCCAGAGCCUGAAUCAGUGUGUGUGUUAGUGGAAGCGUCUGGAAAGGCGCGCGAUACAGGGUGACAGCCCCGUACACAAAAAUGCACAUGCUGUGAGCUCGAUGAGUAGGGCGGGACACGUGGUAUCCUGUCUGAAUAUGGGGGGACCAUCCUCCAAGGCUAAAUACUCCUGACUGACCGAUAGUGAACCAGUACCGUGAGGGAAAGGCGAAAAGAACCCCGGCGAGGGGAGUGAAAAAGAACCUGAAACCGUGUACGUACAAGCAGUGGGAGCACAGAGCAAUCUGUGUGACUGCGUACCUUUUGUAUAAUGGGUCAGCGACUUAUAUUCUGUAGCAAGGUUAACCGAAUAGGGGAGCC